UCUCCUGGAAACGGGUGGUAAUGCCGGAUGCUCCAGUUGAUCGCAUGGUCUUCUGGGAAAGCUUUCGCGGUAUGGGAUGGGGUCGCGUCCUAUCAGCUUGACGGCGGGGUAACGGCCCACCGUGGCUUCGACGGGUAGCCGGCCUGAGAGGGCGACCGGCCACAUUGGGACUGAGAUACGGCCCAGACUCCUACGGGAGGCAGCAGUGGGGAAUAUUGCACAAUGGGCGCAAGCCUGAUGCAGCGACGCCGCGUGAGGGAUGGAGGCCUUCGGGUUGUAAACCUCUUUUAUCGGGGAGCAAGCGAGAGUGAGUUUACCCGUUGAAUAAGCACCGGCUAACUACGUGCCAGCAGCCGCGGUAAUACGUAGGGUGCAAGCGUUAUCCGGAAUUAUUGGGCGUAAAGGGCUCGUAGGCGGUUCGUCGCGUCCGGUGUGAAAGUCCAUCGCUUAACGGUGGAUCCGCGCCGGGUACGGGCGGGCUUGAGUGCGGUAGGGGAGACUGGAAUUCCCGGUGUAACGGUGGAAUGUGUAGAUAUC
This 537-nucleotide ribosomal RNA is filed under the name Bifidobacterium longum subsp. infantis. RNAcentral's name for it is "bacterial SSU rRNA". It matches the Rfam family "Bacterial small subunit ribosomal RNA", at positions 146 to 698 of the family's 1533-position model. The record is from RNAcentral. Lineage: Bacteria; Bacillati; Actinomycetota; Actinomycetes; Bifidobacteriales; Bifidobacteriaceae. RNAcentral also lists the same sequence under 2 other names.